This 253-nucleotide ribosomal RNA is filed under the name uncultured bacterium. RNAcentral describes it as "partial 16S ribosomal RNA". It matches the Rfam family "Bacterial small subunit ribosomal RNA", at positions 793 to 1055 of the family's 1533-position model. The record is from RNAcentral.
GUCCACGCCGUAACGAUGGAUACUAGCUGUUCGGAGCAAUCUGAGUGGCUAAGCGAAAGUGAUAAGUAUCCCACCUGGGGAGUACGAACGCAAGUUUGAAACUCAAAGGAAUUGACGGGGCCCGCACAAGCGGUGGAGCAUGUGGUUUAAUUCGAUGAUACGCGAGGAACCUUACCAAGGCUUAAAUGUAGAUUGACCGAUUUGGAAACAGAUCUUUCGCAAGACAAUUUACAAGGUGCUGCAUGGUUGUCGU